UACUAUGGUACAACGUAUGAAUGAACAUGA
RNAcentral lists this non-coding RNA (30 nucleotides) under Rattus norvegicus (Norway rat). The record is from RNAcentral. Lineage: Eukaryota; Metazoa; Chordata; Mammalia; Rodentia; Muridae.